GACGAACGCUGGCGGCGUGCUUAACACAUGCAAGUCGAACGGAAAGGCCCUGCUUUUGUGGGGUGCUCGAGUGGCGAACGGGUGAGUAACACGUGAGUAACCUGCCCUUGACUUUGGGAUAACUUCAGGAACUGGGGCUAAUACCGGAUAGGAGCUCCUGCUGCAUGGUGGGGGUUGGAAAGUUUCGGCGGUUGGGGAUGGACUCGCGGCUUAUCAGCUUGUUGGUGGGGUAGUGGCUUACCAAGGCUUUGACGGGUAGCCGGCCUGAGAGGGUGACCGGCCACAUUGGGACUGAGAUACGGCCCAGACUCCUACGGGAGGCAGCAGUGGGGAAUAUUGCACAAUGGGCGGAAGCCUGAUGCAGCAACGCCGCGUGCGGGAUGACGGCCUUCGGGUUGUAAACCGCUUUCGCCUGUGACGAAGCGUGAGUGACGGUAAUGGGUAAAGAAGCACCGGCUAACUACGUGCCAGCAGCCGCGGUGAUACGUAGGGUGCGAGCGUUGUCCGGAUUUAUUGGGCGUAAAGGGCUCGUAGGUGGUUGAUCGCGUCGGAAGUGUAAUCUUGGGGCUUAACCCUGAGCGUGCUUUCGAUACGGGUUGACUUGAGGAAGGUAGGGGAGAAUGGAAUUCCUGGUGGAGCGGUGGAAUGCGCAGAUAUCAGGAGGAACACCAGUGGCGAAGGCGGUUCUCUGGGCCUUUCCUGACGCUGAGGAGCGAAAGCGUGGGGAGCGAACAGGCUUAGAUACCCUGGUAGUCCACGCUGUAAACGGUGGGUACUAGGUGUGGGGUCCAUUCCACGGGUUCCGUGCCGUAGCUAACGCUUUAAGUACCCCGCCUGGGGAGUACGGCCGCAAGGCUAAAACUCAAAGGAAUUGACGGGGCCCCGCACAAGCGGCGGAGCAUGCGGAUUAAUUCGAUGCAACGCGUAGAACCUUACCUGGGUUUGACAUGGAUCGGGAGUGCUCAGAGAUGGGUGUGCCUCUUUUGGGGUCGGUUCACAGGUGGUGCAUGGCUGUCGUCAGCUCGUGUCGUGAGAUGUUGGGUUAAGUCCCGCAACGAGCGCAACCCUUGUUCACUGUUGCCAGCACGUUAUGGUGGGGACUCAGUGGAGACCGCCGGGGUCAACUCGGAGGAAGGUGGGGAUGACGUCAAGUCAUCAUGCCCCUUAUGUCCAGGGCUUCACGCAUGCUACAAUGGCUGGUACAGAGAGUGGCGAGCCUGUGAGGGUGAGCGAAUCUCGGAAAGCCGGUCUCAGUUCGGAUUGGGGUCUGCAACUCGACCUCAUGAAGUCGGAGUCGCUAGUAAUCGCAGAUCAGCAACGCUGCGGUGAAUACGUUCCCGGGGCU
This 1345-nucleotide ribosomal RNA is filed under the name uncultured bacterium. RNAcentral describes it as "partial 16S ribosomal RNA". It matches the Rfam family "Bacterial small subunit ribosomal RNA", at positions 28 to 1381 of the family's 1533-position model. The record is from RNAcentral.